GUGCCUAAUACAUGCAAGUAGAACGCUGAAGACUUUAGCUUGCUAAAGUUGGAAGAGUUGCGAACGGGUGAGUAACGCGUAGGUAACCUGCCUACUAGCGGGGGAUAACUAUUGGAAACGAUAGCUAAUACCGCAUAACAGCAUUUAACUCAUGUUAGAUGCUUGAAAGGAGCAAUUGCUUCACUAGUAGAUGGACCUGCGUUGUAUUAGCUAGUUGGUGAGGUAACGGCUCACCAAGGCGACGAUACAUAGCCGACCUGAGAGGGUGAUCGGCCACACUGGGACUGAGACACGGCCCAGACUCCUACGGGAGGCAGCAGUAGGGAAUCUUCGGCAAUGGGGGCAACCCUGACCGAGCAACGCCGCGUGAGUGAAGAAGGUUUUCGGAUCGUAAAGCUCUGUUGUAAGAGAAGAACGUGUGUGAGAGUGGAAAGUUCACACAGUGACGGUAACUUACCAGAAAGGGACGGCUAACUACGUGCCAGCAGCCGCGGUAAUACGUAGGUCCCUAGCGUNGUCCGGAUUAAUUGGGCGUAAAGCGAGCGCAGGCGGUUUAAUAAGUCUGAAGUUAAAGGCAGUUGGCUUAACCAUGGUUCGCUUUGGAAACUGUAAGACU
Molecule: ribosomal RNA, 616 nt
Filed under: Streptococcus infantarius
Lineage: Bacteria; Bacillati; Bacillota; Bacilli; Lactobacillales; Streptococcaceae
Description: bacterial SSU rRNA
Rfam family: Bacterial small subunit ribosomal RNA
Source: RNAcentral